UUUUUUUUUUUUUUUAAAUCCUCUAUAACAGAACCCCAUUUCCUGAGAGAUUUCCACUAUGCUAUUCCCUGAGCUGGUCAGUGUGGUAAUGUGCUUCUAAACUCUGUAAAAUAUGGUAUUAUUCCAACAGUAGCUUGUUUUGUCUUGUCUCUAUGUUUUUGUUUCUGAUACUACAGCAUUGUACAUAUUAACUUCCACCAAAAUUCAGACUGACCUAGGGCUAGCGUUUUCCCCUCCUUAUUUUUUCAGUUACCAGAAUUUGUAUAGAAGUUGGCGUACUAUUGAUUUGGUGCUUUUUUUUGACACCUUCUUUAAAAGUGGUUUUAUUUCCCUUUUAAUUAGUUCCAUCCUCUGAGCUAUACUGCACUUAGGAUAAUUUUAGUAUCUUCAACUGUAGGAAUGUCAUCCUGAACCACAUUCUCUUCUGUACCUCAUAGCUUUCUUGUGGCUCCUCAAUUUAAAAAUUUUCUUGAAAUCUUCUUGACUUCAAGUGUCAACAGCUUGGUUUCCUUGCAGUUUACAUGAGGUCACUCUCUCUUACAUUGGUGCCCUUUAUUUGGAGCAGUCCCUCACAUAGCAGUUCCUCCACAAAAUGUUAAAAACCCUUAUAUAUGAGCUUAUGAGUUUAAUCAUUGAAUCGAUAAGCAGAGCUAACAGCCAAAAGCAAUAGAUUUAUAUUUCUUUCCAAAUUUCUUGACCAUUUCGGUUUUUGGACAGGCUGCUUUUGGACUCAUUUACACUAAAAUAAUUAUUUAAUUCCCAAGGUAGCAUUUCCUAAUCCCUCUGCAGGACAUAGAAGGUUAUCUACCAUCCCUCAAAGGACUGUCAGACUGUUACUAACAAGCAUUCCAAAUGAAAAUUGUUAUUUUGCAAUUAAUAAACAGAAACAAAUCACUGACAUUGCUAAUCCCAAGAACCGGAGAUGAGGAUGUUCAUGUACACCAUAGCUCUUGUUUUCUUAACAAUUCUUCAACAAUACUGCACUCAAAGAACAGUUUUAAAGCAAACAAAUAUUUCUUCCAAGGGCUAGGAACAAAACCAGAAUAGCUUUUAUUGGUUGAUUCCCAACAGAAGCAGUACAGCUAUUAUUGUUUAAAGUAUUAAAGCUUCACAGACAUUAAAGACAUCAACUUCUCCCCAUCAAUA
Long non-coding RNA from Strigops habroptila (Kakapo), 1146 nucleotides. Lineage: Eukaryota; Metazoa; Chordata; Aves; Psittaciformes; Psittacidae. The record is from Ensembl.